AUUGAACGCUGGCGGCAGGCCUAACACAUGCAAGUCGAACGAGUGGCGUACGGGUGAGUAAUGUCUGGGAAACUGCCUGAUGGAGGGGGAUAACUACUGGAAACGGUAGCUAAUACCGCAUACCAUCGGAUGUGCCCAGAUGGGAUUAGCUAGUAGGUGGGGUAAAGGCUCACCUAGGCGACGAUCCCUAGCUGGUCUGAGAGGAUGACCAGCUACACGGGAACUUAUACACGGUCAAGACUCCUACGUGAGGCAGCAGUGGGGAAUAUUGCACAAUGGGCGCAAGCCUGAUGCAGCCAUGCCGCGUGUAUGAAGAAGGCCUUCGGGUUGUAAAGUACUUUCAGCGGGGAGGCGUUACCCGCAGAAGAAGCACCGGCUAACUCCGUGCCAGCAGCCGCGGUAAUUC
RNAcentral lists this ribosomal RNA (406 nucleotides) under uncultured bacterium. RNAcentral's name for it is "partial 16S ribosomal RNA". It matches the Rfam family "Bacterial small subunit ribosomal RNA", at positions 30 to 526 of the family's 1533-position model. The record is from RNAcentral.